UAUAAAACAAAAGCUUUUUAAGUAGCCUUCUGCUGCCCCACUAUGAUGGUAAAUUGGCUACAUAUGCUUUGUGCUCUCCUACGCUUGGUGACAUGGUUAGGCAAGUUAUAAUAGUAACUUGGCUAGAUAUGUUUCGUGCCUACACUUAAUGACAUGGUGCAACAUCAUAAGGUCAUUAAUCAUGGUUUCCUGCAACAACAUCAACAAUUUCCUCCUAGAAAUUCUCUUAUAUGUACUUAAAAUAAUUAUUUAAUGAGGGUAUAUGUAUGGCCAAAGCCAAUGACCAGUCUUGGUCAGCAUCAGCAUCAUCUAUAAUAAUAUACUCAUAAGCAGGUUGUUACACAUUCUUCUCUAUGGUUCAUCUUCCUCUCACCAUCAACAUUCCAUGAAACUCAUAUGUCUCUAUAUUAAUUCUUCUGCUUAUCAAAACCCCACUUAAGCUCAUCUACCUCUCCAUUGUGACCAAUAAAACCUCUAGAUAUAUCUCUCUUAAGAACAAUUUGUGCGCCUCAUUCUUGAUUUUCUUGGCUAGUUCCCAAUGUAAAAUUCUCUGCCAUUUACCUUGUACACCAUAUCAACUCGAGCACGUUAGAUGAGAGAUAUAAUUAUAUUUUUCCAACAUAGUGCAAGCUUACUAUUCCUUAUAUAAGCAGGAGAGUCUUCAAUGUGGAAACAAAAACUUUAAUAAAAUGCUUGAGUCUUGAUAGAUGCAUUGAGCUACAAAAAAGACGCGUGUGAUGUCCAUGGAAUUGUUAAAGCUCUAUUUGAAUCUUAGCGUGGGUGCAAACGGAAGUCAACAUAAUCAUUUCACUCGGAAAAAUGCAAGGUUCAUCGGUUUUCUGUGGUUAUUUUUGUUUCUCAAAAAAAAAACAAUCUAGUAAAACUGAUUACCUUUUGCACCCAUGCUAAGAUUCAAAUAGAGCUUUGACAAUUCCAAGGAUAGAUACAUUGAGUUUCACAUAACAUUUUAAUAAUUUUAAUUGUUUCGAUAUUCCUUGAUAUCAGCAAAAGCAAAAUUAUUAAUUAUUAAACCGACUCUUACAUCUGGUUCGCUUGAGUACGGUACGUCUCGAGUCUGGUUAAAUUCUCCCAAAUACGAUAUAUUAAGGGGUCCAGUCAACAAUUUUGUCUUACCUCGAAUAGUGUUGGGUUUGCGGGUCAACCCGCCCCGACCCCCCCGUUCCGCAGCGGAUCGAAUCAUUUUUUCGAUUCAAAAACUCGAUCCGCAUAACCUGCAAACAAAAACUUUUAUAUCCGCACCCGCCAUGCCAAAACCCGCAGGUAAUAUUAAUUAUAUUAAAAAUAAUUAUUUUAAUUAAAAAUGAUUAUUUUUUAAUUAUAUAAUAAUUAUUUUAAUCAAAAGUAAUUAUUUUUUAUUUAUAUAAUAGUUAUUUUUAAAAAAUACUAUUAAAAUAAAAUAUUUACAAUUAAAAUUAUAUAAAUAUUUACUGUUUUUUUAUAUAUUUUACGAAAAAUGUUUUUUUCAAAAAAAAAAACUUUUUUUUAGUUUGCGGGUUGGCGGGUACCCGCGACUCAAAUUCGGCUGACCCGCACCGUCCCGCUCAAAAUAAUCUCGACCUGCACCCGCACCUGCGAUUUAAAAAUUUCAAAUGGCUUGAUCCGCACCCGUUCCGCGGCGGAUCAAACGGGACAGAGCCCGUAGGCGAUUGAAAUUUCCAGCUCUAACCUCGAAGUACGUUUAUACAUGAAUCUAGGUGUUCGUGACUCAACAAUACAAAUUCAUGUCCACAUUAUACAUCAAAAUGUACACACGCACAAUGUCUUUUUGCAAAUACUUAA
This is a long non-coding RNA of Brassica rapa (field mustard), 1800 nucleotides long. RefSeq lists it as uncharacterized. The record is from RefSeq and is a predicted model, not a curated record. Lineage: Eukaryota; Viridiplantae; Streptophyta; Magnoliopsida; Brassicales; Brassicaceae.